RNAcentral lists this ribosomal RNA (496 nucleotides) under uncultured bacterium. RNAcentral's name for it is "partial 16S ribosomal RNA". It matches the Rfam family "Bacterial small subunit ribosomal RNA", at positions 28 to 507 of the family's 1533-position model. The record is from RNAcentral.
GAUGAACGCUGGCGGCGUGCCUAAUACAUGCAAGUCGAGCGAACAGAUAAGGAGCUUGCUCCUUUGACGUUAGCGGCGGACGGGUGAGUAACACGUGGGUAACCUACCUAUAAGACUGGGAUAACUUCGGGAAACCGGAGCUAAUACCGGAUAACAUUUGGAACCGCAUGGUUCUAAAGUGAAAGAUGGUUUUGCUAUCACUUAUAGAUGGACCCGCGCCGUAUUAGCUAGUUGGUAAGGUAACGGCUUACCAAGGCGACGAUACGUAGCCGACCUGAGAGGGUGAUCGGCCACACUGGAACUGAGACACGGUCCAGACUCCUACGGGAGGCAGCAGUAGGGAAUCUUCCGCAAUGGGCGAAAGCCUGACGGAGCAACGCCGCGUGAGUGAUGAAGGGUUUCGGCUCGUAAAACUCUGUAUUAGGGAAGAACAAACGUGUAAGUAACUGUGCACGUCUUGACGGUACCUAAUCAGAAAGCCACGGCUAACUACGUG